UUCUUCACUGCACUGAGGCAUCCCGAGAGCUUCUGCUGCUGAAGAUGAUACAGUCAGACAGGUUCCUCACAGCUGGAUCCUGUUCAGGUCGAUAUGGUCUGCUCUGAAUGACCCAAACAGAAUUGACUUUUCACUAAAAAAUAAAUCACAGAGCUGGUGUAUGGCCACAAGAACUUUGUUGCAGACUGGAUUCAAGAAGAUCUUUGGGUCUUCUAGCAACAAUUCUUCUGCUUCUGUCCUUGAAGGAUUUUCAAAACUGCAGCUACAUGAUUACCAUGGUCAGUGUUUUUUUCAGUGUGGUUUGUGAAUAAGAGAAAUUACAUGAUAAAGAUCUAAACUAAAAUUCAACCUCCAUAUAAAUGGAAAACAAUUAUAUCUUCCUCCCUCACAUAUUCUUGAA
Long non-coding RNA from Cyanistes caeruleus (blue tit), 400 nucleotides. RefSeq lists it as uncharacterized. The record is from RefSeq and is a predicted model, not a curated record. Lineage: Eukaryota; Metazoa; Chordata; Aves; Passeriformes; Paridae.